This 69-nucleotide transfer RNA is filed under the name Marmota monax (woodchuck). RNAcentral describes it as "tRNA.Val". The record is from RNAcentral. Lineage: Eukaryota; Metazoa; Chordata; Mammalia; Rodentia; Sciuridae.
GUAUAUAGCUCAGUGGUAAAGCAGUUGCCUGACAUGCACAAGGGUCUGGGUUCAACUUGCAGUACCACA